Molecule: long non-coding RNA, 4620 nt
Filed under: Orbicella faveolata
Lineage: Eukaryota; Metazoa; Cnidaria; Anthozoa; Scleractinia; Merulinidae
Description: uncharacterized LOC110052407
Source: RNAcentral
AAACUACUGAAAGUAAGUAAAAUAUGUGUGUGGUGGUAGUAAUGUACUGAAGGAAAGUAAGGUACUGUUGAAAAGUAAGUUAAACAUGUAGAUUAUGAGUAGUUCCUCUUUCGCUAAUAGUUCAUUGAACAAAACUGUAAAUAAACAGUGAGGGAAAAAUGGCUGUGUGAAAUCCUGAGGGUGUGAAGUGUGGGAAAGGAGAGACUACCAACUAAGCCAGGGAGUUUGAAUUAUGCAUUGCUCUCACAACACAAAAAUAUAAUUGGCUUAUGUUAGGUGCCUUGUUGUCAACAUUCAAGAUACAUUUGAUGUCCUGCAGUUAUGUCUAUCUUGCUUUGAAUUGUCUCGCAGGCUGUGAUGUUCUUGCAAUUCUGCCAAUAGGCUAUGGAAAGAUUUAAAUUUAUUGAGAGUCUUGUUUGACAAAGCUCUCUGCCUUGAACCCAAAUGAGGUUGUGUUAGUGAUUUUGCCACUCAGCAGCAUCGUCAAAGAAUAAUUCAUUGAAUAUGAAUUGUCAACUCUCUGGCUUUGUUGGAAGUCCCUACUUUUGCACGCUUCUCGCCCCCAGGAUUUUGCACGGCAAUUUCUCUUGAAGUUUCCUUUCGUGUCAUGCCCAACAAACUGAGCGAAAGAGGGACUACUUGUAGCCUUUAGAAUAUGUGUCAUACUAACGUACUAAAGUUCUGAAGGAGAGUAAAUUAAAUAUGUGGUUGUACCAAUAACGUACGUAAUUUUACUAACGUACUGAAAGAGAAUUAGUAAAAGAUGCAGUCAUACUAGCGUACUGAAAGAAAGUUGUUAAAAUAUGCAGUCGUGGCAAUGUACUAAUGUAUUGAAGGAAAAUAAGUUAGUAAAAUAUGUGGUCAUGUACAGUGUACAUGUAUCAAAGGAUAGAAGGUAAAAUAUGCUCUCUUACUAACUUACUGAAGGAAAGUUAGUAAAAUAUGCAGUUGUACUAAUGUAACCUGAUUACAGCGUCCGCUUUGACAAUGUGGAGAAUUGCGACACUUAACUACCAUGCCUGUUUCAUUUGAAGUCACCAAACACAAUGGUCAUUGUAUCACAGGGCAAGCAUAAUUUGGAGUCAGUUUAUGAGGGAAACGUGAACCAGAAGUGUGUCAACCCUUAAAAUAAUACAGUAUUGUGUAAAAGUAAUGCAAGCGAAAUGCGCAAAUUUCGUUCUUUGAUCCCGCAAUUAUUAGACAAAAGUUUGCUGGAAAGUUUGAUUGAAAUUUUACUGCCUGUCAAGUGAUAAUUCACUAUAACAAAGGACCAUAUUUCUUUGAAUUAUCAAUAAGUUAACGAAAAUUCGCGAGCACUAAGGAUAAUUUACCAGCCUAUACACAAAAUUUCAUAGGACACUGAACAGCAGUUCGCCAGCAUUCACACAAUUUUCUUUUCGCGACUGAACCAUGUACAAAAAAACUGUCAUGUAACUUACACAAGAUAAAUUUUGAUACAUGUAUUUGUAAAUUUGUUCAAGAGAACACGGUAUGCAGUCAUUGACUGCCUUAUAAGAUGAUAACAUACAGUGUUAUGCAUUACUUGAAUCUCACAUGCCUAAAAUUUGCAAAAGGUUUUUAAGCAGGUUCAUUCUCUUGAGUUCAGUUUCAUACGCAGAAAAUUAGAACGUACUUACCUUAUUAUGAAGACAGCGAGCUCAGUUUGUUUCCCAAACAAAACAAAAACAUCUCCAGUUCUGGCUGUUUAAACUGCUUAAGCAAACAGCGACAAACAACUUGAACGAAGUGCAAAUCAACAAAAGCAAUUACGCAACGAUGCUUUUCAUGUCAAAACAAGUCAGUCUGUCAAAAAUUUGCGCGAUCCUGCAAAAAAUAAAAAUUGGCCCAAAAUGCUAUAUACACCCUUUUUGCACGAAAGUCUUCAAUUAGUAAACAGACGCUUAGCCAAAUAGGUAUCUAUUAAUUUUGUUGAAUUGAUAUCAUUUUUAUUAUUUUUGUAGCGACUGGCAGAGGAUUUAGAGUAUGCUGAUAUUCUAAACAGAGCCUCAUUUUGUAAAAAUUCUUUGGUCCAACUUGCUCAUGUGGCAGCAUUUGCUUGUUCAACUUAUUCAACUGUGCUUGGAAGGUUCUGGAAACCUUUCAACCCACUGUUAGGAGAAACAUUUGAGUUUAUUAAUCAUGAUGUUGGAUAUGCCCUCAUAGCAGAACAGGCAAGUAAAACAUACCAAAAACAAUGUCACAAGUUAAAUUUACUGCACUUUCGUACUUCUCUCACUCUGGCAUCCAGCUGUAAGCCUUAAGGGAAGUUUGGAAACAAAUCAAUCUUUUGCAAAUUUCAUUCAAAGUAGGAUUGACAAUAAAACUAAAUCUAUAAAUUAAAAAUCAUCUCAGUUUUGUUUGAGAUUGCUUUCUGUGAUAAAUGUACACUGAUCAGAUGCAUGUUGGUGUAAAACUCGAUCUCUCAUUUUCAGCAAUGCUAUGGCUUUCAAUACAUGUAUUAAAGAUAUAAAAUAUCCCUGAUUUUCAGAUUAGUCUAUCAGCUGAGGUGGUUGUAUGGCUCACUUAUGGGGAACAAAUGAAAGUUGUAUGUUCCUAAUCCUUGACUAUUAAGUAUCGUUAAAAUGCAUGAUAGCAAGGAUAGAACGGUAGCUUUCACUUUGUAGAUGGAAUUUUAAAUUUACCCCCAAUACCCUCCUUUUGGUUGCCAUCUUGGAAUUCUAAAAAAAAAGCAUUAAAAAGUGUUAUUUUCCUAUAUUUCUUUUCUUAGAGGCACAUGAUAUUUUGCCUGGACGUGUAUUUGGAGUAAUUAGUAUCUUAGACACUAUUUCAAUAUUGUCUGUGGUUGUUCAAGCUAUGAUGACGUCAUAAAUUACGUUACAGUGGCCGCCAUUUUUUUUUUUCAGUUUGUGUAUUCAACCUCUAUUUUAAACCAUCUGAAGUAACUAAAUUACCAAUAAGGUGCUCCACAUCACAGUACUAGAAAAACACCUUUUCUACAUUAAGUUAAUUAAGCACACUAUGCCAUGAACCGAUAUACCAUAACUCAAUGUAUACACAUGUAACUAGGUUCACACUUCAAUUUAGAGCUCGGUUGAGUACAGAAGCGCCCCGAUCGUAUAAUGCCCUUUGUCACUGCUGUCACUUGCAUUUGGAUCUAUAGCUUCUCAAACUCACAAACAAUUCAUCAAGCCUAAAUACGGUAAAUUAUGACCGUGACGUUGUUUGGAUAUCUGAUUGUUUUAGCAGAUAUUUCUACGAGUUUAUUUUUCUGUUUCUUCUUAGUUUUAGUUCCAAUCGAGAAGUUCUAUAAAACACUCAAGAAUCUGUUUGAGCACCUUUCCAAACACCUCAAAAAUUGUCAAAAAUACUCGGCUACUGGCGUUGUAUUUCAACUGUCUUCUCUGUGGUGACGGCUCCCCCUCCAGAUUGCUGCUUGAUAAUUUGCUCUUGUAAUGCGACUUCAUAGAGAUGGCAUAGCUGCAAAGCCUCUGGCGUAGUGGACUUCAUAGCGCAGUGCAUCGAUACUCUGGCACUCCUUCCCUUACAGCUGUCACACGAGUGCCUCCUCCAGUAUCUCUUCGGAUACUGUUCACUCCUUCCCAAUUCUCGCCACACCUGUAUUGGAGAAUUAGAAGCUGAACUGCUUCCCGGAGAGUGUCAACCUGUGAUCGUGUGUACGCCAAUUAGGACUUUCAUGAAGUAGUGCUUGUCAAUGCAGCCGUUGAUAACUAAAGAAAUUUCAUCAUUCUGGUCUUUCCACCUCUUCCAUUCUUCAUGUAGCACAUUCGAAGGUUUUGGCUUUGAGCAAGUAGUAGGACAAAGAUAUCAGUGUCAGAGUGGAUGACGCACCUGCCUCCCACGCACCAAGCAUGGAGAACCAUACUCAUAUUGGCCUCUUUGUGAUUACACCCUAUCUCAGGAGCUGGUUUGCAUGUGGCUGCGUCUCUAGCACUGAUCUUCGGUACUCACGUACAUGAUCCGAUCACUGAGCCUACCUCAGAAUGCUUCUUUCUUCCACUGUGACACGAGGGAAUUGGCAAUGUCAGGCUUGUUUGUGGUGACACUGAAAAACUUGUUCCCUGACUUUGCAGUUUUAGGUUACAAGUAGCCCCCCUUUUGCUUAGUCCGUCGAGCGAGGCCGUAGACCGUAGACCAUAAAUAAACUGUGAGGAAAAAUGGCCGCGUAAAAAUGGCGUCCCCAGGAGUUUGCACGGCCAUUUUUUCUCACGGUUUUCUCUUGCAUCACACACCACGGACUAAGCGAAAGAGGGACUACUCGUAGUCUAUCGCAGUAUAGGCAGGAAGUAUGUUCUUGUACUGUUCACCGUCAGAGGUAGACACUCCUUAAAAUCUUUCAACAUUUUUGAUCGACACCUCGUGAUACAUGUUGAACACUAUGUCCACGUACCUUUUGCCGGUGCCCAUUACCAACUCAAACACUCUCUUAGCGACCACAUGAGACAUACCUCCAGAGGGCGCGAUAUUCAACUUCUGCAAGACCACCAUUCCAGGUAUACUGAAAACACUGGUUGUAUUCUCGGAAAUUUCUUGGUAACUGUGAUGCAUCACUCUAGCUGUUAGGAGAGUUUGGCUUUGCGCAGUUGUUUUUCACGGGAGUCCACAAGGAUGGGAAAGAGACCAAGGAAGUGGAAGAAACUA